Harpegnathos saltator (Jerdon's jumping ant) is the source of this 361-nucleotide long non-coding RNA. RefSeq lists it as uncharacterized. Lineage: Eukaryota; Metazoa; Arthropoda; Insecta; Hymenoptera; Formicidae. The record is from RefSeq and is a predicted model, not a curated record. The transcript has 2 exons.
CACACAUACUGUAAGAACCUUCACUAGACAUCUAUUAGCAACAGGCAGCAAUGGUCUAGGACAGAGCUGGAGACUAAGUGCCCUUUUCGGCCGGAUUUCAAGCGGUGACACCCACCGUUCCCCUUCCACCGUUCCGCGCUCAGCGGCCGAGGCGACGAUCGCGGAUCGCUGAGGCCCGUCGCAACAUCCUCCUCCUUAGUUAGAAAAAGGGGAUGUUCAGGAUGUAAAGGUUCCGAGCGAUCAACGUGAAACUCCUCUUAUAGUGAACAAGAAUAUAAGUAUAUGUAUAUUUUAAAAGAACUCAAAUACAAUAAUACCGACACCGCAAUUUAUACUAAAUAUAUCGCUUUACAAAGCUUAA